This 3932-nucleotide ribosomal RNA is filed under the name Triticum aestivum (bread wheat). RNAcentral's name for it is "partial small subunit ribosomal RNA". The record is from RNAcentral. Lineage: Eukaryota; Viridiplantae; Streptophyta; Magnoliopsida; Poales; Poaceae.
CGGGGUUAGCGGAGGGCAGGAGCUCGGGGUGUAGUGUCGCUGGGAGGAGAGGAGAGGGCACUAAGGGCAGCGCAGCGGCGGGAAAGGAGGUAGGGGCGGGGACAGCGCUCGGGGAGAAGAAGGGGUAGGGUGGCUGUAGUAGGAGAUGGCGAGAGGAGCAACACUCAGCGAGGUCCAGCGUCUCCUACUAUACGUAGGCCUAGACGCGUCAACUCCACUCCUUGCCUCCACCCCCCUUCCUCGUCGCUACGACAACUGGUCAGUCCCCUGCCUCCACCUCCUUCCUCAUCGUUCCGACCACUACCCGGUCCCCGGUGGUCUCCUACGUCUUCCCCCUGCUGCAGCGCGAAGAGCGGUGGAGGUGUAGGAGGAAUAGUCGCCGCCACGUUGAGGUCGUCCCUUCCCCCUGCUGCGACGCGAAGACUACGACCAAGUGUACGUCCAAAGUCUCUCAUCGUGGUACGUAACGUACUACUGACACCCACUAGAAACGUUCUGUUACGAAAACUCAUAGCCUUAAUACCAGUAAGAGUUUUCCCAAUUAGUCAGUAGACAAGCAGACAUAACGAUGAGCCCCUCCAUUCAAGAAGGAACGAGUAGAGUAUAAGCUGUUUAAGUACACUUGACUCUACUGAGAGGUACUCGACCGGUUCCACCAAGUGCGAUUCCUUCGUCGGCUGUCACGUUCUGAGACGAUAAUCUUGCCGACUUCCUCUCAUACGUCUAGAAGUCAUAGAAGCUGUCCAAAAACAAGACAAUGUUCGCGAUUACCGGAUAAAAGUAAAACAACUUGAUACUAACAAAGACAUACGAAGAAGAGAUUUUCGUUUAACAUAAGACAAUAUCAAUGUCAGUCACACCCGGACUUUUAAGUGUAGUGGUUUUCUUAACAUCUUAAACUAUUCUCUUAACAAAGAAUUAUUCAUUUAUUCUAUGUUUAUGUCACAGAUUGUAACUACCUUACUUGGACGACGUUCUCCGUUAUUUUCACUGCUACGAACUAAAAUAAUUAACUGUCCUACUUUAUAAUUCAUCAUUCUAUUUACACUCGUAAGUGGAUUAAACAAAAAAUGGAUAACUUUACCCAUCAACCAGUGCAUGACAGUUGAACCAUGUAAGUCACACGCACAAGUCCAAAAUCCUACUUUAAAUUAGGUUCUAGUAAUGAAGUACAAAAGGAUGCAAAUACAACCGUAGAAACUGAAACUAUACAAGUAACGUGAGAUAACCAAGACUACGGUGUUUCACUGACACGAAACAAUCAUGUAGAUACCUAUGAAUACGAAAUAAGUUCUGUGUUAGUCAAAGAAAAAGGAAACAUUUAUCAGACAUCUAUAUCGCAACCGGACUCGGGGAUUCACAGCAUAUGAUAAAGGACGUACGAGUAAAAGAGAAAUAUAAGUUAAGUACACGGAAUCGUUGUUGGAUUCAAUUUCUGUUGUCCUUAUUUAUAAUCAACAAAGUAGAUACCGGAGCAGUAAAUCGAAAAUGAAUUUGACUUAUUUUUUUAACUUAUUAAAGUUAUAUAUGAUAAAUUACAAAACGGUUCUGAGAGUAUCACACAAUUUUUAAAUUUAUAUAUUGAUACGUUAUUGUUUCAAUAUUUAACUAGGUCACAAAGCAUACUUCCUAAGCUAAUCACAUAAACAUUACGUCAAAACACUAAGUCAUAGCAGCACCAUCAAGUUUCUGGGUUCCACUCUAGCAGUAUAAACUAAAGAAUCAAGGAUCCAGUGUUUAGUAGACGAUAGCGGUUGUAAGCUCAACAGGUAGGUAGGUAGAUAGAUACCACGCGAGCGGUUGGUGUAGGAGACAAGUCUAAAACUCACACCGUUGUCCAGUAGUCAACAUCACAGUUUAUGUUCUAAUUCGAUAAACUUAGAACGGUAUACCAUCUGGAUGCUCGUCUUGUUUUUUUUAUAUAUUGAAUACGACCAAUCUUGUUUACGAGUCGAGCGGAACAAAAAAAGAAAAAACGGAGAAAAACCAGGACAAGUCUCCUCUACAAUUUACAACCAACUACAGACGUAUAGCGGAACAUAAAUUACUUUUAUUCCAGGAAGCUACCUAUAGGUACCGAAAGUCAAAAUGAACGUCGGUUACUUAUAUCAAUACCGUGAACAACGGAACAACGCGACAAGUUACUAAUAGUCCUAAAAUUGUGGAUGUGAUAUAUAGGAUCCAUUUGGUGUACCACAACAAAAGUUUAGUAUACAAACAGGAUCCAUUUGGUGUCCUUAAAUACUUGAAAGAACCGGCGAAAUAAUCUUGAUGCCCAAACAUUAUACGAGGCCAAAAUAGUGAAAUACUCAUACAUAUACCAUCCCUCGUCGUGGGCACAUUCGCUCUUUUGAACAACCAACGGACGUAUAGUACACUAUCAAAAACCGAUGAUAAGACGAGUACAAAGGUACUUGGGUAAAUACUAAGCUUCGUCAGUCCGGAGAGAGAAGGAAGAUUAAAAAGGUACUUGUGGUACCGGCGGAAGCGGCUCUCGCGGGCGUAGAAGUAGGUAACGGAGAGACGGUCAAGACAAUGCAUAUCGAUACCGACGGGUUGUUCGCCACUCGGAUUCUUGGGGCAGCCUACAAGUAACGUAUAUCGAGCCCUCCGUCUGUUCUCCUUGGUUCGCCUAGAGGAAGGUACUGCCGUUGGGUUCGUCUUGGCUUUAGAAGGUGCACCGCCGUCGGUAAUCACUCUAGACCUCCCCUCGUCGUCGGCGCCGGAGCUAGGCCUCUUCCCCUCGUCGUCGCGGGGAGAAGAAGUGUGCACCGCCGGAACGCGUCGACGGAGGUAGGGUGCGCACGUCGACGGUGUACUUCCGUUCGCUCGUGUGUACUUUAUCUAUACCGUUCACCUAAAGGAGAGUGGAGUUGUGAAUGACUUAAGUCAUGGUCUUCUUCGGACGAUACGGUGACUAAAACGUGAUGACCACAUUUAUAACUCUUGAUAUACUUGACUACGUGGAACACCAGACCUUUAUACGAGGACUAACACACCUAUAAACGUCGAAGUCUUAAUAAAAUAAGAAUCGGUAUACAGUAGUUCCACGUCGACGAGUAUACUAAAGGUGAGCGAUACCUUAAUCCUCUUCAGUCAAUGAACUAGACUGACAAAUUUCAAGGUGCCAAAAAGUUAUAUACAAUUGAUACAAGUCUCUAGAUUUUCUGAUAGUCCGAUGUGGUUAAGACUUACGUCAAACUUUCGAACAAAGUGCUUCACUCAUACGUUCUAUUGAAGUCCGUUUCACAUGUCUCCGACGUCGACUUCGGCCUGAAACUACGAACGUUCAACCACCUAGUGGUCAAUAAUAGUCCAAGUUAGGGAAACGGUACAUUAUGACACCGCUGUAACAGACAAUACAUAUUAACACGUGUGUCCAAAGACAACCUUGUUAGUGACUUUUGCUACUAUCUGAAACAGAGUGUACACAGCGAGUGACUACUCUUGAUCUGACUUCACUUAACACGAUCUCUUCCUCACCGGCCCUUUCAUGUGGUCACUACGGGAUGUUCCGCUCGUCUUCUUUCGAUUUCUCUACGAGGCACAUUAGGGAUUCUUCGUCUUUCCCUCGUUUUCUUGUCCAGGCGAAGUUCCCAUUUUAGGAGACCCAAAAAAAAAGCUUUUCCUCCAAUAGGGGACCGGAGACGUAGUCUUACUACGUACGCGGGUAGAAUAAUUAUUCGACUAUUUUAGUAGACAUUAGGGAUUAACACGAAAACACUUUUAUACACCUAGUCAAACUACGACCUGUGCUAAUUAAAUGAUAACAACCAUGUACAUCUUCAUUAAGACCUAAUCGGUGUAACACCAAAGGAUGAUCCUUGACUUUAAUACGGGUCAAGUAACCGUACCAUAAUACAACUACAUGAGAGUAAUAGACGUAAUUACAAUUAUGAAGUCUUGACAAGUAUUAAAUGGCACCAACCAAC